Molecule: ribosomal RNA, 467 nt
Filed under: uncultured bacterium
Lineage: Bacteria
Description: partial 16S ribosomal RNA
Rfam family: Bacterial small subunit ribosomal RNA
Source: RNAcentral
GAUGAACGCUGGCGGCGUGCUUAACACAUGCAAGUCGAACGGUGAAGGCGGAGCUUGCUCUGCUGGAUCAGUGGCGAACGGGUGAGUAACACGUGAGCAAUCUGCCCCUGACUCUGGGAUAAGCGCUGGAAACGGCGUCUAAUACUGGAUACGAGCUGCGAAGGCAUCUUCAGCAGCUGGAAAGAAUUUCGGUCAGGGAUGAGCUCGCGGCCUAUCAGCUUGUUGGUGAGGUAAUGGCUCACCAAGGCGUCGACGGGUAGCCGGCCUGAGAGGGUGACCGGCCAAACUGGGACUGAGACACGGCCCAGACUCCUACGGGAGGCAGCAGGGGGGAAUAUUGCAAAAUGGGCGAAAGCCUGAUGCAGCAACGCCGCGUGAGGGACGACGGCCUUCGGGUGGGAAACCUCUUUUAGCAGGGAAGAAGCGAAAGUGACGGUACCUGCAGAAAAAGCGCCGGCUAACUACGU